GGUCGUGCUUAUGAAGCAAAAUAUUUAUUUUUAUGUUUUUCAGGAGUCAAUCAACAACUAUCAUCACAGUAAAACAGCCAAAAAGCUGAGAAACAAAAGAACAAAAAGACCAAAAGAUUUAGCACUAUAUUCAGUAUACUGUGUGGAAGGUUUGACAUUGGAACAAAGUAAGAAAAUCUGGGUAAAGUCAACUGGGAAAACAGUGUCCUUUACACGUGAAGUAACUGCUGGGCUCUGAUAAUUAUGUCCAGUGGUACCACAAGAAAGAUGGAGGCACACUUAAAAUUAAAAGACUUCUCUACAUCAGAAUGAAUUUCCUUAAAGAAUAGACACAGCUUUAGACUCUCUCUGUCACCAUGAGUUGCGUUCUGAAGUUAUUAGUCUUUAUUCAUCUGACAAUCAGAGGGGCUGAAGCCUUUGAGCUGCGACAGAAAAUCUCACUGACCAAAGCGGAAGAGAAGUUAGCCAUUAUAGACUGUUUUUUCCCUUCA
This is a long non-coding RNA of Triplophysa rosa, 491 nucleotides long. RefSeq lists it as uncharacterized. NCBI's taxonomy places the organism in Eukaryota, Metazoa, Chordata, Actinopteri, Cypriniformes, Nemacheilidae. The record is from RefSeq and is a predicted model, not a curated record. The transcript is spliced from 4 exons.